CAGUGGGGAAUAUUGCACAAUGGGCGGAAGCCUGAUGCAGCGACGCCGCGUGAGGGAUGACGGCCUUCGGGUUGUAAACCUCUUUCAGCUCCGACGAAGCGAAAGUGACGGUAGGGGCAGAAGAAGCGCCGGCCAACUACGUGCCAGCAGCCGCGGUAAGACGUAGGGCGCGAGCGUUGUCCGGAAUUAUUGGGCGUAAAGAGCUCGUAGGCGGCUUGUCGCGUCGACUGUGAAAACCCGUGGCUCAACCAUGUGGUCUGCAGUCGAUACGGGCAGGCUAGAAUUCGGUAGGGGAGACUGGAAUUCCUGGUGUAGCGGUGAAAUGCGCAGAUAUCAGGAGGAACACCGGUGGCGAAGGCGGGUCUCUGGGCCGAUAUUGACGCUGAGGAGCGAAAGCGUGGGGAGCGAACAGGAUUAGA
This 419-nucleotide ribosomal RNA is filed under the name uncultured bacterium. RNAcentral describes it as "bacterial SSU rRNA". It matches the Rfam family "Bacterial small subunit ribosomal RNA", at positions 352 to 782 of the family's 1533-position model. The record is from RNAcentral.